This 557-nucleotide long non-coding RNA is filed under the name Homo sapiens (human). Its description in RNAcentral is "non-protein coding lnc-ZNF626-3:1". Lineage: Eukaryota; Metazoa; Chordata; Mammalia; Primates; Hominidae. The record is from RNAcentral.
AGGCCUGAGCUGCAGGAGGAGAGCCUGCAGGCCUCCUGGGUAGAAUCAUAUCUUCACAAUAAUGAAACUGGGAGCAGUGUUUCAGCCUCACUUUCUACUUAUAAUGGUGACAUGGAAAAAAUAUUGAAUUUCCAACAUGAGUCCAGAUAGAGAUAACAUCAGAAGUUUUCACUGUGACAACCCACCUCAUUCAGACACCACGGGAUACUAGUAAGGCUUCUGAAACAGACAAAGCAUUGGAGAGAAAAACAGAUCUCCCUCUGAGCAAGAUAAUUUUGAGAGAAGGAAGUUAAAAAGAUCUUAAGAAAAAGGUCAGAUUAGAUAUAAGAUUGUUAAGUCAGCCAGAAAAUAUUCUCCUAAAAUAAAUUUCUCUCGAAACACUCAAAGUGUAUAGCUACUCUCACCAUGAGAAACAUGAGCAUUAGGAGGGUGCAGAUUUUCAGAAAGAAUAAUUUUAUAAAGUUUCUUUUCCAUCUCUGCUGCUGUCUCAUCUUCUAGCCAUUGAAUGGGGGUUCUAUAUUGAAAUACAUCUGACAACUUCAAACAACACUUUUUGA